Molecule: ribosomal RNA, 400 nt
Filed under: uncultured bacterium
Lineage: Bacteria
Description: bacterial SSU rRNA
Rfam family: Bacterial small subunit ribosomal RNA
Source: RNAcentral
UGGGGAAUAUUGCACAAUGGGGGAAACCCUGAUGCAGCGACGCCGCGUGAGCGAAGAAGGUUUUCGAAUCGUAAAGCUCUGUCCUAUGAGAAGAUAAUGACGGUAUCAUAGGAGGAAGCCCCGGCUAAAUACGUGCCAGCAGCCGCGGUAAUACGUAUGGGGCGAGCGUUGUCCGGAAUUAUUGGGCGUAAAGGGUACGUAGGCGGUCUAUUAAGUCAGGUGUGAAAGCGUGAGGCUUAACCUCAUUAAGCACUUGAAACUGAUAGACUUGAGUGAAGGAGAGGAAAGUGGAAUUCCUAGUGUAGCGGUGAAAUGCGUAGAUAUUAGGAGGAAUACCGGUGGCGAAGGCGACUUUCUGGACUUUUACUGACGCUCAGGUACGAAAGCGUGGGGAGCAAAC